AGAGUUUGAUCCUGGCUCAGGACGAACGCUGGCGGCGUGCUUAACACAUGCAAGUCGAACGGAAAGGCCCUUCGGGGUACUCGAGUGGCGAACGGGUGAGUAACACGUGGGUGAUCUGCCCUGCACUUUGGGAUAAGCCUGGGAAACUGGGUCUAAUACCGAAUAUGACCAUGCGCCUCCUGGUGUGUGGUGGAAAGCUUUUGCGGUGUGGGAUGGGCCCGCGGCCUAUCAGCUUGUUGGUGGGGUAAUGGCCUACCAAGGCGACGACGGGUAGCCGGCCUGAGAGGGUGACCGGCCACACUGGGACUGAGAUACGGCCCAGACUCCUACGGGAGGCAGCAGUGGGGAAUAUUGCACAAUGGGCGCAAGCCUGAUGCAGCGACGCCGCGUGAGGGAUGACGGCCUUCGGGUUGUAAACCUCUUUCAGCACAGACGAAGCGCAAGUGACGGUAUGUGCAGAAGAAGGACCGGCCAACUACGUGCCAGCAGCCGCGGUAAUACGUAGGGUCCGAGCGUUGUCCGGAAUUACUGGGCGUAAAGAGCUCGUAGGUGGUUUGUCGCGUUGUUCGUGAAAACUUACAGCUUAACUGUGGGCGUGCGGGCGAUACGGGCAGACUUGAGUACUGCAGGGGAGACUGGAAUUCCUGGUGUAGCGGUGAAAUGCGUAGA
RNAcentral lists this ribosomal RNA (669 nucleotides) under uncultured bacterium. RNAcentral describes it as "bacterial SSU rRNA". It matches the Rfam family "Bacterial small subunit ribosomal RNA", at positions 8 to 694 of the family's 1533-position model. The record is from RNAcentral.